RNAcentral lists this long non-coding RNA (950 nucleotides) under Bos indicus x Bos taurus (hybrid cattle). RNAcentral describes it as "lncRNA (ENSBIXG00005009148.1)". Lineage: Eukaryota; Metazoa; Chordata; Mammalia; Artiodactyla; Bovidae. The record is from RNAcentral.
UGACAAAUGGAUGUGCUGCUAGGGAAGGUGUUUUCAGGGCAAGGUAAACAGACCUAAUUCCUAAUCUCUGUCAGCAUCGCCAUGGAGAACAACUGGUGCUGGUGUGGUCAGAGGAAAUCUUUAAACAGGUUUGGAUCUGGAAGGCUGGGCGCUGGCCUGGAGCUGUGACCAAACAGUGGACUCCUUCAGGCAUGAGUGCAUUUGACACCCCCAUCAGCCCCUUAAGCAUCUGUGUACAAGUUUCAUCAACGGCACUGUUAGCCUGUGCCAGGGACUGUCUAUGCUGCUCCAAUGGUCAGAGAUGGAUCUGCGUUGCCAGCAGAUGAAUGCAUUGGGAUCAUUCCAUGAACCUGCUCGUUGUUCAUCUAGAGUCAACCAAAGAGGAAAUAAGAAAAUGUUGACUGGUCACAGGAUUUCAGUUCUCUGAAGAGCUCUGCUAUCUUAUGCCUUUGGAUCUCUACAGAUGGUGUUCCUUUAGCUGAAUGUGGCUUGCCUUGUCCCCUCCAUUGCUGACCUGAGAAAUCUUCCUGCACUUCAAGUUUUGUUUCAAACAUUCCUUCCCAUUUCUGUGAUACCUCCCCAAUUUCCUAGGCUAACAGAGACUCCUGUCUGUGCUCUUUGUUUGUUCACCCUCUCUCUCCUCCUCCCUCUAUGUGUGUGUUUGUGUACAUAUGUGUGUGUAUGUGUGUGUGUGUGCAUGCUUAUAUACAUGUAUAUAUGUAUGUAUUUAAUAGGAAUGAUUUUCUUUCUGAAAUGGGAUUAUUUGUAGAGCUGUCUAUUAUAUUGUGAGACACUUACAGGGGGGUUCUGGGUCUUUUAAUCCCUUCUAGCAUUUUGAACCAUAUUUUGCCCAGUUGUUGGUUGAAUUAGUAAAUGCAAGAAUAGAUCAAAGCUUUGAGAAUGCUAGGAUGGAAGGGACAUUUAGGCAAAAAUAGCCAUCUCAGGGGAUA